Mercenaria mercenaria is the source of this 341-nucleotide long non-coding RNA. RefSeq lists it as uncharacterized. Lineage: Eukaryota; Metazoa; Mollusca; Bivalvia; Venerida; Veneridae. The record is from RefSeq and is a predicted model, not a curated record. The transcript is spliced from 3 exons.
AAUAGGCAAUUAUAAACGGGCACAAAAUGCUUGCAAUAACGCUUAUGGAGGACCGCCAAGCUCAGAUUUAUCACUGAUAUGCGAAAGCUUGAAUUGUUUUUUACAAUGUCUGAAGGACGCAGUUUCGGAUUGUUGGAAAACUGACCAGCUUUUCACCUAUGACUUAAACACAACAGUAGUACAAUUUUGAGCAUUGUGCCAGGAUCUCAAAAAGACAAAAAGAGCGCAGACCGUUUGCGAUCCAACAUCAUGUAAGAAUCAAUACUUAAAUUCCAAUUAUACUGAAAGAAUGCGAGACUUAUUCAACAACGGAGAUUUUGCAGAGUAUAAGAAAUUACAAU